ACGGGGUGGGUGGCAAGGAGUCACGCUAGUUUCAUAAGCUGGAGUAGAGCGGUUCGAUUCCGUUACCCCGAA
Molecule: transfer RNA, 72 nt
Filed under: Lactococcus lactis
Lineage: Bacteria; Bacillati; Bacillota; Bacilli; Lactobacillales; Streptococcaceae
Description: tRNA-Met
Source: RNAcentral